Molecule: ribosomal RNA, 1494 nt
Filed under: uncultured bacterium
Lineage: Bacteria
Description: bacterial SSU rRNA
Rfam family: Bacterial small subunit ribosomal RNA
Source: RNAcentral
AGAGUUUGAUCCUGGCUCAGGACGAACGCUGGCGGCGUGCUUAACACAUGCAAGUCGAACGGGGUUUAGCGAGAAGUUUACUUUUAGCUAAACCAAGUGGCGGACGGGUGAGUAACGCGUGGAUAACCUGCCCCAUAGCCUGGGAUAACGCCGGGAAACUGGUGCUAAUACCGGAUACGGUCAUCCGGCUGCAUAGCCGGAUGAAGAAAGGUGCAAACCGCUAUAGGAUGGGUCCGCGUCCCAUUAGCUAGUUGGUAGGGUAACGGCCUACCAAGGCCGCGAUGGGUAGCCGGCCUGAGAGGGCGACCGGCCACACUGGAACUGAGACACGGUCCAGACUCCUACGGGAGGCAGCAGUGGGGAAUCUUCCGCAAUGGGCGCAAGCCUGACGGAGCAACGCCGCGUGAGUGACGAAGGUCUUCGGAUUGUAAAACUCUGUCCAAAGGGAAGAAACAAAUGACGGUACCUUUGGAGGAAGCCCCGGCUAACUACGUGCCAGCAGCCGCGGUAAAACGUAGGGGGCAAGCGUUGUCCGGAAUUACUGGGCGUAAAGGGCGUGUAGGCGGCUCUACAAGUUAGAAGUGAAACCUAUCGGCUUAACCGGUGGCCUGCUUCUAAAACUGUCGGGCUUGAGUGCAGAAGAGGGGAGUGGAAUUCCCAGUGUAGCGGUGAAAUGCGUAGAUAUUGGGAGGAACACCAGUGGCGAAAGCGGCUCCCUGGCCUGUAACUGACGCUGAGGCGCGAAAGCGUGGGUAGCAAACAGGAUUAGAUACCCUGGUAGUCCACGCCGUAAACGAUGGGUGCUAGGUGUUGGGGGUAUCGACCCCCCCAGUGCCGCAGUUAACGCAAUAAGCACCCCGCCUGGGGAGUACGGCCGCAAGGCUGAAACUCAAAGGAAUUGACGGGGGCCCGCACAAGCGGUGGAGUAUGUGGUUUAAUUCGACGCAACGCGAAGAACCUUACCAGGUCUUGACAUCUCCUGCUCGCUGUGGAAACACAGAAUUCUUCUUCGGAAGACAGGAAGACAGGUGGUGCAUGGUUGUCGUCAGCUCGUGUCGUGAGAUGUUGGGUUAAGUCCCGCAACGAGCGCAACCCCUACCUUUAGUUGCCAGCGCGUAAUGGUGGGCACUCUAAAGGGACUGCCGUUGACAAAACGGAGGAAGGUGGGGAUGACGUCAAAUCAUCAUGCCCUUUAUGACCUGGGCUACACACGUACUACAAUGGCCGGUCCAGACGGACGCGCAGCCGCGAGGUGAAGCGAACCCGAGAAAGCCGGUCCCAGUUCGGAUUGCAGGCUGCAACUCGCCUGCAUGAAGUCGGAAUCGCUAGUAAUCGCAGGUCAGCAUACUGCGGUGAAUACGUUCCCGGGCCUUGUACACACCGCCCGUCACACCACGAAAGUUGGCAACACCCGAAGCCGGUGAGUUAACCUGCAAAGGAAACAGCCGUCGAAGGUGGGGUCGGUAAUUGGGGUGAAGUCGUAACAAGGUAACC